AUCCAGCUGACGAGUCCCAAAUAGGACGAAACGUGCGUUAUUGAU
This 45-nucleotide non-coding RNA is filed under the name Schistosoma curassoni. The record is from RNAcentral. Lineage: Eukaryota; Metazoa; Platyhelminthes; Trematoda; Strigeidida; Schistosomatidae.